This 714-nucleotide long non-coding RNA is filed under the name Volvox carteri. RNAcentral describes it as "long non-coding RNA (VCAR_LNC000796)". Lineage: Eukaryota; Viridiplantae; Chlorophyta; Chlorophyceae; Chlamydomonadales; Volvocaceae. The record is from RNAcentral.
AAUUUUUAUUUGUCAACAACUUACAAUGCCAGGGUCAGGAUGUGUUGGACGGUUACAUUUAUGAAGGUUACUGGGCAGUCUCCCUGCAAGUCGCGUCCAUGCGUAAUAAAAAUCUAACGAUAAAAAUCCAGCGAAAACCUCAUGCUGUAGAAUAAUCGGAGCACUGGACCCCUUUGAACCUAUCCGACAGCAGGCCGAUAGUCUUCGACACGGGAUAUCGCCCGCACACGCUAUUUUAUGCCUGGACUAUGGAGUUCUCCUACCGCAGGUCAAAUAGCUAUCCUUGGCGACAAGAUCGGAUGGCAGAGUAAUCGUCCCGGGAUACAUUACGCGCAGCAAGGAGCGUAGACGACGCAAGGGGGAGGCUGGAUGGUGCCUUAUUAGCGCUUUUGGGGCGUGAGGAGGGUUUUCAUAGGCUUUCAUCGCCCCUUCCAUAGCUUCCAAACACUGACAUCUUGCAUGAAAAGGCAUGAAGCAACCUUUGCUGUGUGUGCGACUCUCCCCUGGCAGUGAUUACCCUAGUCAUAAAUGGGUGGCAUUACCAUGUCACAGUGGACCCCAAUAAAGGACGGAUAUUGCGAUUCAUUCAGACGGAACACGUACAUGUGAUGGGCGUAAUAACACCCAAUGCUACUGAUGACCAGCUGUACCACGUACGUACGUAUUUACGUACGUACGAAUAAACGCCACCUCCCCAGGCAGGCAGGCAACCCC